GCAACAGACGCUGAUGCGGUGCUACGCAGGAAGCCACGCGGACGAUCCGCGUGCCCGCUAUGAACGGCCCAAGUCCAUUCCCACGCGCACGGACGGCCUGCACUCCCUCCCAAACGCGAUCGAACGGCCAGAUUCGAACGCGAUCAGACGACCCAUAGUGAAUCGCAAUAGACGGUCCAGAUUGGAUCACGAUGAACGACCUAGACGGUUCAGAUCAAAUGCGAUGGAUGGUCCAUAUCAAAAGCGGACUUAUAUAAAUAACCACCAUCUGCACCAAACCUUAACCCUAGCCGCCAGACCCCCUCGCCGGAGAAGAUGACCCAGUCGCCAGGGAGUCGACCACCGCCACCCGUCGCCGCACCAGGACCCUUUCCGACCGCCAAAAAAGGUAAAAACUUCUCCUUCACGGAAUUCAAUUU
Molecule: long non-coding RNA, 419 nt
Filed under: Carica papaya (papaya)
Lineage: Eukaryota; Viridiplantae; Streptophyta; Magnoliopsida; Brassicales; Caricaceae
Description: long non-coding RNA (CPAP_LNC001251)
Source: RNAcentral